This 243-nucleotide ribosomal RNA is filed under the name uncultured bacterium. Its description in RNAcentral is "partial 16S ribosomal RNA". It matches the Rfam family "Bacterial small subunit ribosomal RNA", at positions 534 to 776 of the family's 1533-position model. The record is from RNAcentral.
UCAAGCGUUGUUCGGAUUCAUUGGGCGUAAAGGGUGUGUAGGUGGUGCCGUAAGUCGGGUGUGAAAUUUCGGAGCUUAACUCCGAAACUGCAUUCGAUACUGCGGUGCUUGAGGACUGGAGAGGAGACUGGAAUUCAUGGUGUAGCAGUGAAAUGCGUAGAGAUCAUGAGGAAGACCAGUGGCGAAGGCGGGUCUCUGGACAGUUCCUGACACUGAGACACGAAGGCCAGGGGAGCAAACGGG